Molecule: ribosomal RNA, 441 nt
Filed under: uncultured bacterium
Lineage: Bacteria
Description: partial 16S ribosomal RNA
Rfam family: Bacterial small subunit ribosomal RNA
Source: RNAcentral
CCUACGGGAGGCAGCAGUGGGGAAUAUUGCACAAUGGGGGAAACCCUGAUGCAGCGACGCCGCGUGAGUGAAGCAGUAUUUCGGUAUGUAAAGCUCUAUCAGCAGGGAAGAAGCAAGACGGUACCUGACUACGAAGCCCCGGCUAACUACGUGCCAGCAGCCGCGGUAAUACGUAGGGGGCAAGCGUUAUCCGGAUUUACUGGGUGUAACGGGAGCGUAGACGGCUGUGCAAGUCUGAAGUGAAAGCCCAGGGCGCAACCCUGGGACUGCUUUGGAAACUGUGGAGCUAGAGUGCGGGAGAGGGAAGUGGAAUUCCUAGUGUAGCGGUGAAAUGCGUAGAUAUUAGGAGGAACACCAGUGGCGAAGGCGGCUUACUGGACAGUAACUGACGUGGAGGCUCGAAAGCGUGGGGAGCAAACAGGAUUAGAUACCCCGGUAGUC